CCUACGGGUGGCUGCAGUGGGGAAUAUUGGACAAUGGGCGAAAGCCUGAUCCAGCCAUGCCGCGUGUGUGAAGAAGGCCUUCGGGUUGUAAAGCACUUUCAGUGGGGAAGAAAGCCUUGGGGCUAAUACCCUCGAGGAAGGACAUCACCCACAGAAGAAGCACCGGCUAACUCCGUGCCAGCAGCCGCGGUAAUACGGAGGGUGCGAGCGUUAAUCGGAAUUACUGGGCGUAAAGCGCGCGUAGGCGGUCUGAUAAGCCGGUUGUGAAAGCCCCGGGCUCAACCUGGGAACGGCAUCCGGAACGGUCAGGCUAGAGUGCAGGAGAGGAAGGUAGAAUUCCCGGUGUAGCGGUGAAAUGCGUAGAGAUCGGGAGGAAUACCAGGGGCGAAGGCGGCCUUCUGGACUGACACUGACGCUGAGGUGCGAAAGCGUGGGUAGCAAACAGGAUUAGAUACCCGUGUAGUC
Molecule: ribosomal RNA, 465 nt
Filed under: Vreelandella stevensii
Lineage: Bacteria; Pseudomonadati; Pseudomonadota; Gammaproteobacteria; Oceanospirillales; Halomonadaceae
Description: partial 16S ribosomal RNA
Rfam family: Bacterial small subunit ribosomal RNA
Source: RNAcentral